RNAcentral lists this unclassified non-coding RNA (344 nucleotides) under soil metagenome. RNAcentral describes it as "partial contains 5.8S ribosomal RNA, internal transcribed spacer 2, and large subunit ribosomal RNA". The stretch from base 1 to 120 matches the Rfam family "5.8S ribosomal RNA", at positions 35 to 154 of the family's 154-position model. The record is from RNAcentral.
GAUGAAGAACGUAGCGAAAUGCGAUACGUAAUGUGAAUUGCAGAAUUCAGUGAAUCAUCGAGUCUUUGAACGCACAUUGCGCCCCCUGGUAUUCCGGGGGGCAUGCCUGUCCGAGCGUCAUUGCUGCCCUCAAGCACGGCUUGUGUGUUGGGCCUCCGUCCUCCUCCCGGGGACGGGCCCGAAAGGCAGCGGCGGCACCGCGUCCGGUCCUCGAGCGUAUGGGGCUUCGUCACCCGCUCUUGUAGGCCCGGCCGGCGCUUGCCGACACAUCAAUCUUUUUUCCAGGUUGACCUCGGAUCAGGUAGGGAUACCCGCUGAACUUAAGCAUAUCAAUAAGCGGAGGA